UACGUAGGGGGCAAGCGUUGUCCGGAAUCAUUGGGCGUAAAGCGCGCGUAGGCGGCCCUGUAAGUCCGCUGUGAAAGUCGGGGGCUCAACCCUCGGAUGCCGGUGGAUACUGUCGGGCUUGAGUACGGAAGAGGCGAGUGGAAUUCCUGGUGUAGCGGUGAAAUGCGCAGAUAUCAGGAGGAACACCAAUUGCGAAGGCAGCUCGCUGGGACGUUACUGACGCUGAGACGCGAAAGCGUGGGGAGCAAACAGG
This 253-nucleotide ribosomal RNA is filed under the name uncultured bacterium. Its description in RNAcentral is "partial 16S ribosomal RNA". It matches the Rfam family "Bacterial small subunit ribosomal RNA", at positions 524 to 776 of the family's 1533-position model. The record is from RNAcentral.